CCUACGGGGGGCUGCAGUCGAGAAUCUUCGGCAAUGGGCGCAAGCCUGACCGAGCGACGCCGCGUGGAGGAUGAAGGCCUUCGGGUUGUAAACUCCUGUCGAGGGGGAGGAAGGGGCAACCUUGACCUAUCCCUGGAGGAAGCACGGGCUAAGUUCGUGCCAGCAGCCGCGGUAAGACGAACCGUGCGAACGUUAUUCGGAAUCAUUGGGCUUAAAGCGCGUGUAGGCGGAUGGGAACGUCGGUGUUGAAAGCCCCCGGCUCAACCGGGGAAUUGGCUCCGAAACGACCCGUCUGGAGGGGCAUAGGGGGAUCUGGAACUUCCGGUGGAGCGGUGAAAUGCGUUGAGAUCGGAAGGAACGCCCGUGGCGAAAGCGAGAUCCUGGAUGUCUUCUGACGCUGAGACGCGAAAGCUAGGGUAGCGAACGGGAUUAGAUACCCUAGUAGUC
Molecule: ribosomal RNA, 447 nt
Filed under: uncultured bacterium
Lineage: Bacteria
Description: bacterial SSU rRNA
Rfam family: Bacterial small subunit ribosomal RNA
Source: RNAcentral